Molecule: ribosomal RNA, 468 nt
Filed under: uncultured bacterium
Lineage: Bacteria
Description: partial 16S ribosomal RNA
Rfam family: Bacterial small subunit ribosomal RNA
Source: RNAcentral
GACGAACGCUGGCGGCGUGCUUAACACAUGCAAGUCGAACGGAAAGGCCCUGCUUUUGUGGGGUGCUCGAGUGGCGAACGGGUGAGUAACACGUGAGUAACCUGCCCUUGACUUUGGUAUAACUUCAGGAAACUGGGGCUAAUACCGUAUAGGAGCUCCUGCUGCAUGGUGGGGGUUGGAAAUUUUCGGCGGUUGGGGAUGGACUCGCGGCUUAUCAGCUUGUUGGUGGGGUAGUGGCUUACCAAGGCUUUGACGGGUAGCCGGCCUGAGAGGGUGACCGGCCACAUUGGGACUGAGAGACGGCCCAGACUCCUACGGGAGGCAGCAGUGGGGAAUAUUGCACAAUGGGCGGAAGCCUGAUGCAGAAACGCCGCGUGCGGGAUGACGGCCUUCGGGUUGUAAACCGCUUUAGCCUGUGACGAAGCGUGAGUGACGGUAAUGGGUAAAGAAGCACCGGCUAACUACGUG